GACGAACGCUGGCGGCGUGCUUAACACAUGCAAGUCGAACGAUGAACGCUGGAGCUUGCUCCGGCUGGAUUAGUGGCGAACGGGUGAGUAACACGUGAGCAAUCUGCCCUUGACUUUGGGAUAACUCCGAGAAAUCGGUGCUAAUACCGGAUAUGACCCUUGGCGGCGUCGCUGGGGGUGGAAAGUUUUUCGGUCAAGGAUGAGCUCGCGGCCUAUCAGCUUGUUGGUGAGGUAAUGGCUCACCAAGGCGACGACGGGUAGCCGGCCUGAGAGGGUGACCGGCCACACUGGGACUGAGACACGGCCCAGACUCCUACGGGAGGCAGCAGUGGGGAAUAUUGCACAAUGGGCGCAAGCCUGAUGCAGCAACGCCGCGUGGGGGAUGACGGCCUUCGGGUUGUAAACCUCUUUUAGCAGGGAAGAAGCGAAAGUGACGGUACCUGCAGAAAAAGCACCGGCUAACUACGUGCCAGCCGCCGCCGUAA
Molecule: ribosomal RNA, 485 nt
Filed under: uncultured bacterium
Lineage: Bacteria
Description: partial 16S ribosomal RNA
Rfam family: Bacterial small subunit ribosomal RNA
Source: RNAcentral